AGUCUUCUGGGGCGUGCGCCAGGUGGCGCUCAAUCCCUUGAGCCUUAAUUCGCGACACAGGGGGCGACAAAACGGUUCUGUGUGCAUGUCCGCGCACUGCGCGGAAAGCCUGAUGAGCCGGGCGUGGCCCCCGACUUGAACCUGUUUGGUUCAAGGUCGUAGCGUCGCCAGCGGCGCCCUGGAAGACAC
RNAcentral lists this non-coding RNA (189 nucleotides) under Halothiobacillaceae bacterium. RNAcentral's name for it is "6S RNA". It matches the Rfam family "6S / SsrS RNA". From Rfam's summary of the family: E. coli 6S RNA was the first non coding RNA to be sequenced, but its function was unknown until recently. It consists of 184 nucleotides that fold into an extended hairpin structure with a large single-stranded internal bulge. Lineage: Bacteria; Pseudomonadati; Pseudomonadota; Gammaproteobacteria; Chromatiales; Halothiobacillaceae. The record is from RNAcentral.